This 440-nucleotide ribosomal RNA is filed under the name Babesia sp. badger type B. RNAcentral describes it as "SSU rRNA". It matches the Rfam family "Eukaryotic small subunit ribosomal RNA", at positions 558 to 1018 of the family's 1831-position model. The record is from RNAcentral. Lineage: Eukaryota; Apicomplexa; Aconoidasida; Piroplasmida; Babesiidae.
AGUCUGGUGCCAGCAGCCGCGGUAAUUCCAGCUCCAAUAGCGUAUAUUAAAGUUGUUGCAGUUAAGAAGCUCGUAGUUGAAUUUCUGCCUUAUCAUUAAUUUCGCUUAUUAACGUAAAUUUUAUUGAUUUGGCAUCCUCUAAUAUUAUAUAUAUUUUAUAUAUAUUUUAUUAGUAUUUACUUUGAGAAAACUAGAGUGUUUCAAACAGGCAUAUGCCUUGAAUACUAUAGCAUGGAAUAAUGAAGUAGGACUUUGGUUCUAUUUUGUUGGUUAUUGAACCAUAGUAAUGGUUAAUAGGAGCAGUUGGGGGCAUUCGUAUUUAACUGUCAGAGGUGAAAUUCUUAGAUUUGUUAAAGACGAACUACUGCGAAAGCAUUUGCCAAGGAUGUUUUCAUUAAUCAAGAACGAAAGUUAGGGGAUCGAAGACGAUCAGAUACCGU